GUCAGGUUAGGUAAUAAUGAUAUGUCAGGUUAGGUAAUAAUGAUAUGUCAGAUUAGGUGAGGUCAGGUUAGGUAAUAAUGAUAUGUCAGAUUAGGUGAGGUCAGGUUAGGUAAUAAUGAUAUGUCAGAUUAGGUGAGGUCAGGUUAGGUAAUAAUGAUAUGUCAGAUUAGGUG
Molecule: long non-coding RNA, 173 nt
Organism: Homarus americanus (American lobster)
Lineage: Eukaryota; Metazoa; Arthropoda; Malacostraca; Decapoda; Nephropidae
Exons: 3
Source: RefSeq, a predicted model, not a curated record